RNAcentral lists this ribosomal RNA (366 nucleotides) under uncultured bacterium. RNAcentral describes it as "bacterial SSU rRNA". It matches the Rfam family "Bacterial small subunit ribosomal RNA", at positions 28 to 416 of the family's 1533-position model. The record is from RNAcentral.
AACGAACGUUGGCGGCGUGGAUUAGGCAUGCAAGUCGCGGGAAUGCCCAGCAAUGGGUGGAACCGGCGUAAGGGGCAGUAAUGCGUGGGUACCUACCGCAGGGUUGGGCAUAGCCCGUAGAGAUACGGGGUAAUUCCCAACGAUGUCGUAAGACCAAAGCUCCGGCGCCCUGUGAGGGGCCCACGUGAUAUUAGCUAGUUGGUGAGGUAACGGCUCACCAAGGCGUAGAUGUCUAGCGGGUGNGAGAGCACGACCCGCGCCACUGGCACUGAGACACUGGCCAGACACCUACGGGUGGCUGCAGUCGAGGAUCUUCGGCAAUGGGCGCAAGCCUGACCGAGCGACGCCGCGUGGGCGAUGAAGGCC